Molecule: ribosomal RNA, 427 nt
Filed under: uncultured Pseudomonadota bacterium
Lineage: Bacteria; Pseudomonadati; Pseudomonadota
Description: bacterial SSU rRNA
Rfam family: Bacterial small subunit ribosomal RNA
Source: RNAcentral
UGGGGAAUUUUGGACAAUGGGGGCAACCCUGAUCCAGCCAUGCCGCGUGAGUGAAGAAGGCCUUCGGGUUGUAAAGCUCUUUUGGCGGGGAAGAAAGGACUCUUUCUAAUACAGAGGGUUUUUGACGGUACCCGCAGAAUAAGCACCGGCUAACUACGUGCCAGCAGCCGCGGUAAUACGUAGGGUGCGAGCGUUAAUCGGAAUUACUGGGCGUAAAGAGUGCGUAGGUGGUUCGUUAUGUCUGCUGUGAAAGCCCCGGGCUUAACCUGGGAACUGCAGUGGAAACUGGCGAGCUUGAGUAUGGCAGAGGGGGGUGGAAUUCCGCGUGUAGCAGUGAAAUGCGUAGAGAUGCGGAGGAACACCGAUGGCGAAGGCAGCCCCCUGGGCUACUACUGACACUGAGGCACGAAAGCGUGGGGAGCAAACA